Bombus impatiens (common eastern bumble bee) is the source of this 1029-nucleotide long non-coding RNA. RefSeq lists it as uncharacterized. The transcript has 2 exons. The record is from RefSeq and is a predicted model, not a curated record. Lineage: Eukaryota; Metazoa; Arthropoda; Insecta; Hymenoptera; Apidae.
UUAUCACAAAAAAUUAUUAUAAAUAUACGUGUAUUUCACAAAAAAGAUAAAACAUGUGUAAUGGUAAGUAAUCUUAUUGAAUCAAUACACUAUUUUCUAAUUACAUAUUUAUGGAUAUUUAAUGUACGUAUAUUAAAUGCUACAACACGUACUAUUUGUUUAAGAAAGUACUUAUUACGUGCAUCAUAGCAUUCUACACCACUGGAUCAGUGAAGAUCUACAAAAAAGUAGCUGUAAAAUUGACCUGGACCUUGAAAUUCAGGGUCAUUUUUUAAUUGCAUCAUAUUCUAUACUUCUAUUCUAUACUAUAUCGCGAGGAUCGAAAGUCUUAAAGGAACCAUGGGUCGCAUUCGACCGUUCUCUUAAAAAAAGAUGUUAAUUAACUUUAGAAUUCACUUUAUUUGUAAUUAUCUGUUAUAUAUCUGAUAUAUGGCUGUCGAUUUUGUAAAGUGUCUGACAUAACGCAGGCCGGUAAGAAAAAGAUAUUGCUUGGAGGGGGAAUCAUAUUGCCUUACUAUAUCGUGGCAUCGAUUCUAAGCAAAACAUGAUCGCAGCAAAGGUCACUGUUGCGUUGCAAAUAUUCGUAAACCGUCUCUGGUUCAUACUUUCGACUCUUGCUUCUUUUUGUCAUAGAUUAAUCUGUAAUUCUAAUGUAAUAGAUUAAUGCAUCUGAUUUCAAAAUAUAAGUACAUUACAAACAAUGUGAAUUCGAAAAUUUAUAAAACUUUAACAUUUUUUUCCAAGAGGACUGAGAAGAUGAUUUGCGAUCCAUAGUUUCUUUGAGUCUUUGCACUCGACGGCCUUUUCGGUCGAGCAUAGCAUCAACUCGAGGUGAUUUUGCACGUAUGUGACGAGUGUCUUGUAGACAUAAGUAGAAAGAUCAAUUAAAAGGACCAUUGGAUUUUACUCCAAGGCCCGCCCUCCUACAUAAAUUCAUUAUGUGAAAAAUUUUAAUGUGCCUUCUAUAACGAUUAAAGGCCAAUGAAACUUUGAAUUUGUUCAUUAAUUAUUGAGGAUUAAAAGGGGAAA